GGGAUUUUAGUAUAACGGUGAAUGCAUAUGACUUUUAAUCAUCAAAAUGUAGGUUCGAUCCCUACAAACCCUA
This 73-nucleotide transfer RNA is filed under the name Akanthomyces muscarius. RNAcentral describes it as "tRNA-Lys". It matches the Rfam family "tRNA". From Rfam's summary of the family: Transfer RNA (tRNA) molecules are approximately 80 nucleotides in length. The record is from RNAcentral. Lineage: Eukaryota; Fungi; Ascomycota; Sordariomycetes; Hypocreales; Cordycipitaceae.